UACGGAAGGGGCAAGCGUUGUCCGGAUUUAUUGGGCGUAAAGAGCUCGUAGGCGGUUUGUCGCGUCGGCCGUGAAAUCUCCACGCUUAACGUGGAGCGUGCGGUCGAUACGGGCAGACUUGAGUUCGGUAGGGGAGACUGGAAUUCCUGGUGUAGCGGUGAAAUGCGCAGAUAUCAGGAGGAACACCGGUGGCGAAGGCGGGUCUCUGGGCCGAUACUGACGCUGAGGAGCGAAAGCGUGGGGAGCGAACAGG
This 253-nucleotide ribosomal RNA is filed under the name uncultured bacterium. RNAcentral describes it as "partial 16S ribosomal RNA". It matches the Rfam family "Bacterial small subunit ribosomal RNA", at positions 524 to 776 of the family's 1533-position model. The record is from RNAcentral.